Molecule: transfer RNA, 82 nt
Filed under: Taphrina deformans PYCC 5710
Lineage: Eukaryota; Fungi; Ascomycota; Taphrinomycetes; Taphrinales; Taphrinaceae
Description: tRNA-Leu (CAG) (tRNA-Leu-CAG-1-1)
Rfam family: tRNA
About the family: Transfer RNA (tRNA) molecules are approximately 80 nucleotides in length. Their secondary structure includes four short double-helical elements and three loops (D, anti-codon, and T loops).
Source: Rfam by way of RNAcentral
GGGAUUUUGGCCGAGUGGUCUAAGGCGCCAGCUUCAGGUGCUGGUCUCUUCGGGGGCGUGAGUUCGAACCUCACAGAUCUCA